This 299-nucleotide long non-coding RNA is filed under the name Gossypium barbadense (sea-island cotton). Its description in RNAcentral is "long non-coding RNA (GBAR_LNC006577)". The record is from RNAcentral. Lineage: Eukaryota; Viridiplantae; Streptophyta; Magnoliopsida; Malvales; Malvaceae.
AGAGAAUAACUAUAACUUUAUUCCAAUAAUUAAUGCAUGAAAACCAAAUUGAACAUGAAAUAAUUCAGGUCCCAAAUUAAACAUGAAAACCAACCUCAAGUACCAAAUUGAGAUAAAAAUCUCAAAUACAAAAUAGGACAUUCAAACCAAAUAUAAGUGCCACAUAGUAAAUUAACCCCUUAAUAAAUAAUACAAAACCAAAGAAAAAAAAAUUCUUCCUUUUUCUCAUUACUUUGUACUCUUUCUUUCUCACCCACCGUCCAUGCCAAAAAAGAAAAAGCUAGCUGUUUAAAAUCUAA